RNAcentral lists this ribosomal RNA (482 nucleotides) under uncultured bacterium. Its description in RNAcentral is "partial 16S ribosomal RNA". It matches the Rfam family "Bacterial small subunit ribosomal RNA", at positions 30 to 507 of the family's 1533-position model. The record is from RNAcentral.
AUUGAACGCUGGCGGCAUGCCUUACACAUGCAAGUCGAACGGUAACGGGCCUUCGGGUGCCGGCGAGUGGCGAGCGGGUGAGUAAUACAUCGGAACGUGCCCGAUCGUGGGGGAUAACGAGGCGAAAGCUUUGCUAAUACCGCAUACGAUCUACGGAUGAAAGCAGGGGACCGCAAGGCCUUGCGCGGACGGAGCGGCCGAUGGCAGAUUAGGUAGUUGGUGGGAUAAAAGCUUACCAAGCCGACGAUCUGUAGCUGGUCUGAGAGGAUGAUCAGCCACACUGGGACUGAGACACGGCCCAGACUCCUACGGGAGGCAGCAGUGGGGAAUUUUGGACAAUGGGCGCAAGCCUGAUCCAGCCAUGCCGCGUGCAGGAUGAAGGCCUUCGGGUUGUAAACUGCUUUUGUACGGAACGAAAAGCCUUCUUUUAAUACAGGAGGGUCAUGACGGUACCGUAAGAAUAAGCACCGGCUAACUACGUG